CGCCACCAGAGCUUCGUGGCUUAAUGGGGGAGGCGAGGAGCCACUGCAGACCUGCUCGGGACAGUGAAGGGCGCCAGUCUCAGCCCUCAUCUGAAACCUGCUCCGUGACCCUGGACUAGUUCCUGCUCCUCUCUGGGCCAAAUCCUGGCCCUGCUCCUUUCUGGCUGAGUAACUUUGGGCAACUGUGCCCUGAAACCCUCUGCCCUGCUGAAGAAUGGAGAGGACUCCCCCACCAGCACCUCCAGCUAGGACACAUGGGAACUGUGGGACUUGGAGCAAAGUUUUCAAGUCUCUGUGCCUUAGUUUCCUCACCUGUGCUGUUCUAGGCGCUGAGGAUGCAGCCGUGCACAAGACGGAUGAAAUCCCUGCCCUCAGGGGCCGACAUUUGCGGAGUAAAUAAAGGAAAGGCCAACAUGAACAGCUGAUUUGGAUACCAUCAAGACACCUGAAAUUUUAGCAUGAGCCAGAUGCCAAGGAAGAGACUCCGGGAGGAUCCUGAGGACCCCCCGGUUGCAGCCAUGUCGAGGCUGAUGCUGAGGAGGACCCCAACUGUCACAAGCAACACCCGUCGAACACAGCCACCCAGCUGGGGACAGAUCAAGAAGCUGUCACAGAUGAUGGAAGAAAACCUGAGGAAAGCGGGACACCCACUCAGAAUGAGUAAUGGUAGCUAUGAUAGUGGUAAUCACCAUUGCCGUGAGUAUUCCUUAAAGAAGGGCUGACACAGAGAACAAUUAUACUUAUUAGGCAUAUUCAUCAAUCUUGGCUGGCAAUAAUGCCUGGAUGUAAUCACUCUAUGACACAGUUACAUGUGCUUUCUCAUCUCAG
This 828-nucleotide non-coding RNA is filed under the name Pan troglodytes (chimpanzee). Lineage: Eukaryota; Metazoa; Chordata; Mammalia; Primates; Hominidae. The record is from RNAcentral.